Non-coding RNA from Oryza punctata, 207 nucleotides. NCBI's taxonomy places the organism in Eukaryota, Viridiplantae, Streptophyta, Magnoliopsida, Poales, Poaceae. The record is from Rfam.
AAUAAGUGCAGUUUUGCACUAUUUAUAUCCGACGUUUGACCGUUCGUCUUAUUUAAAAUUUGUUUAUGAUUAGUAUUUUUAUUGUUAUUAGAGGAUAAAACAUAAAUGGUACUUUAUGCGUGACUAAUUUUUUUUAAUUUUUUCAUAGAUUUUUCAAAAAAACGGACGGUCAAAUAUUAGAUACGGAAACUCACAACUGCAUUUAUU